GACGAACGCUGGCGGCGUGCUUAACACAUGCAAGUCGAGCGGAGCGGCGAACGGGUGAGUAAUGCGUGAGUAACUGCCCUCCCCUCUGGGAUAACAGUUGGACACGGCUGCUAAUACCGGAUAGUGGGGGAUGACCCGCGGCCUAUCAGCUGGUUGGUGGGGGAGUGGCCUCCCAAGGCGACGACGGGUAGCGGGCCUGAGCGGGCGACCGGCCACAUUGGGCUGUGAUACAGCCCAAACUCCUACGGGAGGCAGCAGUGGGGAAUAUUGCGCAAGGGGGGAAACACUGAGGCAGCAACGCGCGUGCGGGGGGACGGCGUUCGGGUUGUAUACCGCUUUCAACCAUGGCGCGGUAGUGGCAGAAGAAGCACCGGCUAACUACGUGCCAGCCGCCGCGGUAAUAC
This 404-nucleotide ribosomal RNA is filed under the name uncultured bacterium. RNAcentral's name for it is "partial 16S ribosomal RNA". It matches the Rfam family "Bacterial small subunit ribosomal RNA", at positions 28 to 526 of the family's 1533-position model. The record is from RNAcentral.